GGCUGGUCUGAGUGCAGUGGUGUUUACAACUCAUCACCAGAUACAGGUUCCUUUGUUCCUUCACCACUCCCACUGCCUCACUUAACUAACUUAAA
Unclassified non-coding RNA from Otolemur garnettii (small-eared galago), 95 nucleotides. It matches the Rfam family "Y RNA". Rfam says of the family: Y RNAs are components of the Ro ribonucleoprotein particle (Ro RNP), in association with Ro60 and La proteins. The Y RNAs and Ro60 and La proteins are well conserved, but the function of the Ro RNP is not known. The record is from Ensembl. Lineage: Eukaryota; Metazoa; Chordata; Mammalia; Primates; Galagidae.